UACGGAGGGUGCAAGCGUUAUCCGGAAUCACUGGGCGUAAAGGGCGCGUAGGUGGUCUGUUAAGUCUGGCGUUAAAGCCUGGGGCUCAACCCCAGAUCAGCGUUGGAUACUGGCAGGCUAGACGGUUGGAGAGGCGAGUGGAAUUACCAGUGUAGCGGUGGAAUGCGUAGAUACUGGUAGGAACACCCAUUGCGAAGGCAGCUCGCUGGACAACACGUGACACUGAGGCGCAAAAGUGUGGGGAGCAAACCGGAUUAGAUACCCCGGUAGU
This 271-nucleotide ribosomal RNA is filed under the name uncultured prokaryote. RNAcentral describes it as "partial 16S ribosomal RNA". It matches the Rfam family "Bacterial small subunit ribosomal RNA", at positions 524 to 794 of the family's 1533-position model. The record is from RNAcentral.